GUAAGGGGCGAGCAUUAUCCGGAUUUAUUGGGCAUAAAGGGCGCGUAGGCGGUAAUUUAAGUCAGAUGUCAAAGGCUGUAGCUCAACUAUAGUACGCAUUUGAAACUGAAUUACUUGAGAUCAGGAGAGGGAAGCGGAACUUACAGUGUAGCGGUGAAAUGCGUAGAUAUUGUAAGGAACACCAGUUGCGAAGGCGGCUUCCUGGACUGAAUCUGACGCUGAGGCGCGAAAGCGUGGGGGAGCAAACGGGAUUAGAUACCCCGGUAGUCCACGCCGUAAACGGUGUUCACUAGGUGUAGGAGGUAUCGACCCCCCUUCUGUGCCACAGAUAAUUCGUUAAGUGAACAGCCUGGGAAGUACGACCGCAAGGUUA
Molecule: ribosomal RNA, 373 nt
Filed under: uncultured organism
Description: partial 16S ribosomal RNA
Rfam family: Bacterial small subunit ribosomal RNA
Source: RNAcentral